RNAcentral lists this unclassified non-coding RNA (203 nucleotides) under Hevea brasiliensis (rubber tree). The record is from RNAcentral. Lineage: Eukaryota; Viridiplantae; Streptophyta; Magnoliopsida; Malpighiales; Euphorbiaceae.
ACCUUUACCUUGAGGGAUGUGUUAUUUUGACUCAUAUGCCGCGUGGGAUUGGUCAAUUGACUUCCCUUGAGAAUUUAUCAGUAUUCAUGGUGGCCAAAGAUAAUGGUGUCUCCAAACAUAGCGGCGGACUCAGUGAAUUACGUGACUUGAACAAUCUGAGAGGAUGGCUACAUAUCAAGAAUCUAAGAUAUGUGAAAGAUCCG